RNAcentral lists this ribosomal RNA (252 nucleotides) under uncultured bacterium. RNAcentral describes it as "partial 16S ribosomal RNA". It matches the Rfam family "Bacterial small subunit ribosomal RNA", at positions 524 to 776 of the family's 1533-position model. The record is from RNAcentral.
UACGGAGGAUGCGAGCGUUAUCCGGAUUUAUUGGGUUUAAAGGGUGCGCAGGCGGCACGGCAAGCCGGCGGUCAAAUCGCGGGGCUCAACCCCGCCCAGCCGUCGGAACUGCCGGGCUAGAGUGGGCGAGAAGUGCGCGGAAUGCGUGGUGUAGCGGUGAAAUGCAUAGAUAUCACGCAGAACUCCGAUUGCGAAGGCGGCGCACCGGCGCCCUACUGACGCUCAGGCACGAAAGCGUGGGUUUCGAACAGG